GUAUAUCAUCUGUAUCUUAUUCAAUUCACCUGCGGAGUAAAGUCAGACAACUAGAGGAAGAGAUUAUUAACCUUCUUACAACAUGUAGCAACAAAGGUGGUGUUGGUAAUAACAGCAUUGAAGUUUUGCAACAUGAAGAUUAUAGCUCAUUUUACUUCCAAAAUGCUGACAGUAGAACUAUCGCUUUGUAUACUGUGAUAUUCACACUCAUUAUGCCAUUUGUAUUCUACAAAUAUCUUGAUUACCUUCCACAAAUCAAGACUCUCUCAAAAAGAACAAAGAAUAAGAAGGAGGAGGUUCCCUUGAAGAAGAGGAUUGCGUAUAUGGUGGACGUAUUUUUCUCUGUUUAUCCUUAUGCAAAGCUGCUUGCACUACUCUUUGCAACCAUAUUUCUGAUAGUGUUUGGCAGCUUGGCAUUGUAUGCAGUCAGUGAUGGUAGCUUUUCUGAAGCCCUUUGGCUAUCAUGGACAUUUGUAGCUGACUCAGGAAACCAUGCAGAUAGGGUUGGUACUGGGCCAAGGAUCGUUUCAGUCUCUAUAAGUUCAGGAGGCAUGCUGAUAUUUGCUAUGAUGCUUGGACUUGUCUCAGAUGCCAUCUCAGAGAAAGUAGAUUCACUGCGGAAAGGAAAGAGUGAAGUUAUUGAAAAGGACCAUAUACUAAUUCUUGGAUGGAGUGAUAAACUGGGUUCGCUUUUGAAGCAGCUAGCAAUAGCAAACAAGAGUGUUGGUGGCGGUGUUGUUGUUGUUCUUGCAGAAAGAGACAAGGAGGAAAUGGAGAUGGAUAUUGCCAAGCUAGAAUUUGAUUUCAUGGGUACAUCUGUUAUAUGCAGAAGUGGCAGCCCUCUUAUCGUGGCUGACUUAAAGAAAGUUUCAGUAUCUAAGGCACGUGCUAUCAUUGUAUUAGCAUCUGAUGAAAAUGCAGAUCAGGUUCUUUCCCAGGUGCUAUCUAAUUCUUUGAUUUUUAUACUCUGAUGAAACAUUCUUGAAGUAUUUGUUUUAUUGUUGCUAGAGUGAUGCACGUGCUUUAAGAGUUGUGCUUAGCCUAACAGGAGUUAAAGAGGGCUUGAAGGGUCAUGUUGUUGUGGAGAUGAGUGAUCUUGACAAUGAACCUCUGGUGAAGCUUGUAGGAGGAGAACUCACUGAAACAGUUGUUGCACAUGAUGUGAUUGGACGUUUGAUGAUCCAAUGUGCUCUACAACCCGGCCUUGCACAGAUUUGGGAAGAUAUAUUAGGGUUUGAGAAUGCGGAAUUUUACAUCAAAAGGUGGCCUCAGUUAGAUGGUCUGCAUUUUGAAGAUGUGCUUAUUUCAUUUCCUGAUGCAAUUCCUUGUGGGGUUAAGGUUGCUGCAGAAGGUGGGAAGAUUAACUUAAACCCCGAUGAUAAAUAUGUUCUAAAAGAAGGGGAUGAGAUUCUUGUCAUAGCUGAGGAUGAUGACACUUAUGCUCCAGUUCCUCUUCCCAAGGUACGUGGAGGUUCUUGUCCAAAACUGAUUGAUCCUCCAAAAUAUCCAGAGAAGAUACUGUUCUGUGGCUGGCGUCGUGACAUUGAUGACAUGAUAAUGGUUCUAGAGGCAUUACUGGCUCCAGGUUCAGAACUCUGGAUGUUUAAUGAGGUCCCAGAAAAAGAAAGAGAAAAGAAGCUUACUGAUGGUGGA
Molecule: unclassified non-coding RNA, 1653 nt
Filed under: Hevea brasiliensis (rubber tree)
Lineage: Eukaryota; Viridiplantae; Streptophyta; Magnoliopsida; Malpighiales; Euphorbiaceae
Source: RNAcentral